This 892-nucleotide ribosomal RNA is filed under the name uncultured bacterium. RNAcentral describes it as "bacterial SSU rRNA". It matches the Rfam family "Bacterial small subunit ribosomal RNA", at positions 38 to 916 of the family's 1533-position model. The record is from RNAcentral.
UACGGCGCGCUAUGAUGCGAGUCGAACGAGAAACAGACAGCUGAUCUCUUCGGAGUGACGCAGUCUGUGGAAAGUGGCGUACGGGUGAGUAACACGUGGGUCACCUGCCUCCAAGACGGGGACAACACAGGGAAACUUGUGCUAAUCCCCGAUGGUCUACCGGUACCCUGGUAUCGGAUAGUAAAGGUUUCGCACCGCUUGGAGAUGGGCCCGCGCCCCAUUAGCUAGUUGGUGAGGUAAUGGCUCACCAAGGCGACGAUGGGUAGCCGGUCUGAGAGGAUGGUCGGCCACACUGGGACUGAGAUAUGGUCCAGACUCCUACGGGAGUUAGCAUCAGGGGAUCUUGCACAAUGGGCGAAAGCCUGAUGCAGCGACGCCGCGUGUGUGAUGAAGGCCUUCGGGUCGUAAAGCACUGUCAGGAGGGAAGAAUGCCACGUCUUUGACGUGGAGCGACACUACCUCCAGAGGAAGCCCCGGCUAACUACGUGCCAGCAGCCGCGGUAAAACGUAGGGGGCCAGCGUUGUCCGGAAUUACUGGGCAUAAAGCGCGCGUAGGCUGUUUAGUAAGCGGAGGGUGUAAUCCCGAGGCUCAACCUCGGAACUGCUCUCCGAACUGCUAGGCUAGAGUGCGGGAGAGGAUAGUGGAAUUCCUGGUGCAGCGGUGGAAUGCGUAAAUAUCAGGAGGAACACCGGUGGCGAAGGCUGCUAUCUGGAACGCAACUGACGCUGAGGCGCGAAAGCUAGGGGAGCGAACGGGAUUAGAUACCCCGGUAGUCCUAGCCGUAAACGAUGGACACUAGGUGUUGGGGGAUCGACCCCCCCAGUGCUGUCUGCUACGCGUAGUGUCCGCCUGGGGAGUACGUCGCAAGCUAAAACUCAAAGGAAUUGACAG